This 253-nucleotide ribosomal RNA is filed under the name uncultured bacterium. Its description in RNAcentral is "partial 16S ribosomal RNA". It matches the Rfam family "Bacterial small subunit ribosomal RNA", at positions 524 to 776 of the family's 1533-position model. The record is from RNAcentral.
UACGUAGGGUGCGAGCGUUGUCCGGAAUUAUUGGGCGUAAAGAGCUUGUAGGCGGUCUGUCGCGUCUGCUGUGAAAAUCCGGGGCUCAACCCCGGACUUGCAGUGGGUACGGGCAGACUAGAGUGUGGUAGGGGAGACUGGAAUUCCUGGUGUAGCGGUGAAAUGCGCAGAUAUCAGGAGGAACACCGAUGGCGAAGGCAGGUCUCUGGGCCACUACUGACGCUGAGGCACGAAAGCGUGGGGAGCAAACAGG